Molecule: ribosomal RNA, 238 nt
Filed under: uncultured bacterium
Lineage: Bacteria
Description: partial 16S ribosomal RNA
Rfam family: Bacterial small subunit ribosomal RNA
Source: RNAcentral
CGUUAUUCGGAAUUACUGGGAUUAAAGAGUUCGUAGGCGGCGUGUUAAGUUGGGUGUGAAAUCCCUUGGCUCAACCAAGGAAUUGCGCUCAAAACUAGCAUGCUUGAGGAAGACAGGGGUAAGCGGAACUGAUGGUGGAGCGGUGAAAUGCGUAGAUAUCAUCAGGAACACCGGUGGCGAAGGCGGCUUACUGGGUCUUUUCUGACGCUGAGGAACGAAAGCUAGGGGAGCGAACGGG